This 450-nucleotide ribosomal RNA is filed under the name uncultured bacterium. Its description in RNAcentral is "bacterial SSU rRNA". It matches the Rfam family "Bacterial small subunit ribosomal RNA", at positions 355 to 796 of the family's 1533-position model. The record is from RNAcentral.
UCGAGAAUCUUUUGCAAUGGGCGAAAGCCUGACAAAGCGACGCCGUGUGAGUGAUGAAGGCCUUCGGGUUGUAAAACUCUUUCGCUUGGGAACAAGGAUGAGGGAAGAAUAUUUUUUCAUUUUGAGGGUACCAGGUAAAGAAGCACUGGCUAACUCCGUGCCAGCAGCUGCGGUAAUACGGAGGGUGCAAGCAUUAAUCGGAUUUAUUGGGCGUAAAGGGCGCGUAGGCGGUAUUGUAAGUCAGAUGUGAAAUUCCGAGAGCUUAACUCCGGAGCUGCAUUUGAAACUGUAAUACUUGAGGGUUGACGGAGAAAAUGGAAUUCCAUGUGUAGCGGUGAAAUGCGUAGAUAUAUGGAAGAACACCAGUGGCGAAAGCGGUUUUCUAGUUAAUACCUGACGCUGAGGCGCGAGAGCAAGGGGAGCAAACAGGAUUAGAUACCCCCGUAGUCC